GGCCCCAUGCGUCAAGACUCUUGUUUCGGGCGUUGACAAAGACCAGAGCGACCGCGAAGUUUCCUCUGCUUCUAUACACUUCAUUUUCCUCUACUUUGGCUUCUCUCUUGCAUCCAUUCCUUUCUUUACUCUCCCUAUGUUGUCUCUCGGUUCCAUUGUUGAAUUAAUCUCUUGCUGCGCUAUUUCCAUUGGAGGGUCGUCAGCAAGAUUUGACCAGAAUCGCUUCAUUCCCAUAAACUUUCCAGUACAGAACAAUCCUGCUAAUGGGGCAAAGCUUUCACAUCAUCGAGGAGAAGAGACAUUAAACGAAGUGGGGGUCCCGGAUCUGAUUCCGAGAACACAUCUUGCUACAAGCAGUAGCUGCCAGUAAAACCCAGUUGGCACUUUUAUUGGACUUCCUAAUGACACGCUCCACUGAAAUAGAUUCAAACUGCUCAAAGGAUUUCUGAUUCGAAUACAAAGGAACACAAUCGCAUCUGCUGGAAGUGGAAAUAUUGCACGAGAAGGGAAGAUAUAGCGGUCUCACGUUGGAUGUGAAACUGGCCUGAGCCUAUGAACUACAACCAGGUGAACUAGUGGGACAAGCUUCUCAAACAAGAAGGGAAGAGAUUUGGGAUUGCUUGAUGAAGGAAGAGAUGCUCUGUACUGGCGUUUCGGGACAGGGGGAACUGGAUAAAACCUCUCUCGUGAAGCAUAUACACGAUCAAAUAGUGCAGAAUUUUAUAAGGCUCCGUGGUGAUUGUUUGGUCACUGAUCGCAGGAAGACUCUGUUGGUACGAUGCAAACUGAUAUGGUGAACUCUUUCAAACUAGAUUUGGCAGAGGUGAGAGGUAACUACUUUGGCACAAGACGGAAGGACGCAUUGCAGGGUAGGAAGAACAGUUUCAUAUCUAUGUUUGAAGCUUCAUCAUUUGGCUUGGACACAUACCAUACACUUGUUCCGUAUGGAGGAAUGUCCGCACUGUUUGUAUGCCACAAGGGAACCAACAAAAGCAGAGUGCGACUAGGAAAGCUUUUGCCAUAACGGAGUAGGAUGCUGCAGCACAAUGCAGUCAUUGCAGGUUCAAGGAGUAUUUGGACAGAUUUAAAGUUUGUAUGCCACAACGGAACCAACGAAAGCAUAGUGCAACUGGGAAAGUUUUCGCCAUAAUGGAGUAGGAUGAUGCAACAAUCAAUGCAAUAGUUACAGGAAAUUGUAAAGGCACUUUUGCAAUAGUAGUCUCAAACUUGCGAGUGAUGGGAUUUUAAAAUGGACUCCUACGGUUAUAUGGCUCGUCUAGAAGACAAAAGAAAGGACGAACUGGAAAGUAUUUCUAUAGUUAGAGAGUAUUGUAAAGGAUAUUUCUAUAUCCUUUACAUUGAAUUGAUGAUUUAUUUGAUGAACUUCAAGGAGCUCAGGUACUUUCAAAGAUUGACUUUCAUUCUUAGUAUCAUCAGUCGAACAUAAAAGUAUGCCUAAAACUACUUUCAGAGCAAGGUAUGGUCAUUAUGAAUUUCUUGUCAUGUCUAUUAGAUUAAGAAGUGUGUCUUCUA
This is a long non-coding RNA of Eucalyptus grandis, 1533 nucleotides long. RefSeq lists it as uncharacterized. The record is from RefSeq and is a predicted model, not a curated record. The transcript has 5 exons. NCBI's taxonomy places the organism in Eukaryota, Viridiplantae, Streptophyta, Magnoliopsida, Myrtales, Myrtaceae.